RNA transcript from Puntigrus tetrazona (Sumatra barb), 1259 nucleotides. It is a transcript of the gene named placental growth factor a, with no coding region annotated. The transcript has 5 exons. The record is from RefSeq and is a predicted model, not a curated record. NCBI's taxonomy places the organism in Eukaryota, Metazoa, Chordata, Actinopteri, Cypriniformes, Cyprinidae.
ACACAGAGGGUGGGCUGAUUUACUUUGAACAAACAACACUAAUCCCACUGCCAACAGGGAGAAGUUCCUUUGGAUUUCUUCUGACACCUGUACGUUAUUUUAAGGAGCCGCUUGUAUUAUCGAAACGCCACCUAACUGAAUGGAAGUUCAGCGUUUUAAUUAAAAUGCGGUGGGCUCUGGAGUGUAUGUGUGCAGUGAAUGGACGCUCUCGACAUGAACAGAUUCAUCCGUGUGUCGCAGCUGGCUGUGAUUCUGCUCUACAUUGCUCUUGUUCAGGUUUUUACCAUUCUGGGCAAUCCCCACUCCAAAGUGAUGCUGUUCCCCGAGGCGUGGAGUCGUAGUCAGUGUCGUUCUCUGGAGAGGAUGGUGGAGGUGGAGCAGGAGUAUCCCGGAGGGGUGGAGCACAUCUAUAAUCCCGGCUGUGUUCCGCUGCGACGCUGCUCCGGAUGCUGCAACGACGACAAACUGACCUGUUUCCCCGCCAGCACACACAACAUCAGCAUACAGGCACACACACACACACACACACACACACACACACAGUGUAAUUCUAGUGACUCGCAGCACUGUGUAUUUAUUGGUGUUUUUCUUCAGCUGCUGAGAAUAACUCCGUCGGAGAGGAGCAGGGAGUACGUGCUGCUUUCGUUUCUGGAGCACCGGAGCUGUGAGUGCAGGCCCAGAAGACAGCACCCGAGACACCAGCAGUGAGUACUGAUUGAUUGACGGGUGGAUGGCGGGGUGUUAGUAAACGCCAGAAGUAAGGUUGUGAGUGCUCUUCUCAGCAGGAGGAGGAGGAAGGGCAAGCGCCGGAGGAGGCGGAGAGGAAGGACGCACAGGGAUUGAGACGCAGCCCGGAUCCGAUGAACACUUUGGCAAAUAGGCACAGACUCCAUUCAUCACACAAGCACUGGACCUUAGUGUGGUCAGUCUGACCCGGACCAGGACCAGGACCAGGACCAGGAUCAGCUCAAGACCUGCUGCGGCUCCCAGAUCAAACAUCUGUUUAUACCGACCGUAGCGGAUCACACUGUCACUGAGAAACAAUAAAGCUGCUAAAGCGAAGGAAUCAGGCUUCAUCAGGGAACAGACGAGAGAACAAAUGUGAAAUACCUCAGUGCUUUGAAAAAGAAUCAAAUCUACUAUAAAAACAUGAAAUACAAUGCAAUGUGUGUUCAUAUCCCCAUAUGUGCCUUAAUAUAUUUUAUAAAACAAUAAAUUCACAGUAUUUAAAGAAAUAAAAGCUGCUUGUUUUGUGUUUA